Hemicordylus capensis (graceful crag lizard) is the source of this 2470-nucleotide long non-coding RNA. RefSeq lists it as uncharacterized. The transcript has 3 exons. The record is from RefSeq and is a predicted model, not a curated record. NCBI's taxonomy places the organism in Eukaryota, Metazoa, Chordata, Lepidosauria, Squamata, Cordylidae.
GUCCUUCAUUUCAGAAUAGGACGUAAGAAAGUGCUAAGAGAUGAUAAGAACCGUUGUCUGGUAUUGAGACGUAUAUUAUCUGAUGUGUAUGGAAGUGUAUAGAGAGACAUGAAGGUGGGGAAACCAGGAGGAUUGGGUGUCCUUCGGAGUUCAUGUUGGCCUGGCAGUGGGAGGAGAAAAACAAAACGAAGCAUCAACUGCCGCACAUUGAGUCAACACUUUCAACGAGCUGUGCACCACGACCCCAAGAUCCCUAUCCUGGUCAGUCACCAACAGCUCAGACACCAUCAGCGGGGCGAGAGGAGGAAGCAAGAAAACCCCAGCAAGGACCAAGACAAGUUCCUCAGCACUCAGAACAGUUCCCAUGUAAUAGACAGCUUGCUCCAAUGAGUUUUAGCACCAGUCCAAACCUUUACUUUCCCUCACAUUGACCUUGUGGCCUAUCCCAGGAUCGGCUCUCUUUCUGAAGAGCAGAGUCACUCAGUGCCUGGAGAUUUGUACCCCACCACAGUUUUGUUAAUUCUAGAUGAGUUUGCAGCAUGUCUGGCAAGCAGGGGAUAUGGCUCUUGGAGGAGAGAGUAGGGCUGUGCAUUUGUGUCAGCCUGACAAACAUGUCAGACCCAAUGUGCCCUCUGUUGGGCACUAACACUUCCAAGUCACUUCCUGUUUGUGGCUUGAGAUAACAAUGGUGGAUAACAAUGGAGAUAACAAUGGUCAUAACAAUGGUGACUUUUGUUUCAUAGUGUGUUAAAUGUUGCUUUACUUUGGAAAACUGCUUAGUUCAUCGGAAAAUUGGCAUAUGAAUGUUUUAAAUAUAUAAACGAACCCAAUGAGGACCUACACACAAUCGGUGUGGAGACAGGAGGGUUUGGCGGGGAGAGAGGGUCAAGCCCACUCUCCCCGCAUAUGAGCAGUCGUUGAGCCCCGGGUGGCCAGAUCGCCUGCCCACAUGAUUACCGGCUCUCUCACAGAGCUGGUAGGGGUGAUGGGGAUUGAGGGCUCUGCACAAGUGUGUGGGGCAUUCUGGGGAGACCCCUGAGGCUGGGAGGCUUGUUGUAGGCACCCGGUCGGGGGUCUCCUUGUGCACUGCAGCGACUCAUGAUCACAGAAAUUGGGUUAGCGGAGCACUCACUCUGCUAAUCUUGUUUUAGGGGAGGGGUACUUAGGCAGGCUAGCUGCCGCUGAACCACAGGGUUUGCCUGUGGUUGUAGUUCUCACAACUGCUCAAAAGAGGGCUGGGCUCCCUUAGCUCACUUUCAAGUGGUCAUGAGAAUAGCCUCAAUAUGUAAUUAAUCUUAUUUUCCUGGAUCAGCUAUGAAUGAGGAAUGUGUUCCUAAAACAUCUUUAUUUUGGGUUAGCAGACAGCACCCUGCCAUAUGCUUGGAACUGUGGGACUAGUAACAACAAUGAAGACUGAAAGGGAAUCAUCCCUAAAUACCUCUCUUUGUCUCACUGUCAAAGAGAAAGAAGCUGGCAAAAGUAGACCCCCUGAGUCAAAAACAUUCUCUAGGGAAGUAACAAACUCUAUUUUGCAAGAGAAAUAGCAUGACCUAAUCUUCUCCAUAGUAACUCAAGAUUGGCAUGAGGACUCCCCAUCCCACAGUCAACUGCUAAUGAGCUGGCCAACGACCAGAAGGAGGUAAACUCGUUAAAAUGUAGGGAAAUUAUCUUUGCACCUGGAGAACCAUCUCCUGUCCAGAUAAAGCAUUGAGGUCAGCCAUUCAAUCUUCCAUGUACACUUCACCCAAACCAUUUCCAGCCUUUUGUCCACUGGGUUUGCACCGAAGGUGAUCAGUUUAUGUAACAAUGAGUCUCUUUGUUAAGCCUACAUUUCAGCACCCUCCAGCCAGGGUAUGUGACUUGUACGUGACCGCAGGGCAUGAAUUUGCCUACUUGUACUCAGCACCUUUAUUGGAACCUAUUACUGGAUUCUUCAUGGGCACCUGAACAGUGGUCUGCCUGGAUUUACGCCAUACUGGUUCUCAAGCUUGCGAGUGCUAGCUCUAUGCCACUUACCUUUUGUUCCCUGCCUUUCUGGUUCCUUCCCACUUCAAGGAGACCUGCUCAGCUGCCUCUUUACAAGUGCACCAGACACACCAAUGGGUCAGGAUCGGUAAUAUUAAUCUCCUGCCCCUAUAAAUCUCCUCACCCCCUUCUCUUCCCUCUUCAAGCCUCCACUUUAGCCCUUUCUACGGCACACCUUAAGCUGAUUUAUCUACAAUUCUGACCUUCACCUAAAAUUCCUCUUUGUGAGAUUCUUGUUCAGACUGCUCCUUAAGAUUCCAUUGCCUGCCUAACCAAUCUCUUCAUUUCCUGUACCCCUUCCCCCUCAAAUAAAUCUUUAAACUGCAUUUCCACCUUUUCGUUAUUUCCAGACCAAAACUCUGCUCAGAUUAAAACUGUGGUAGACUGCUCCCCCCAUAGUCAAGCUGAUUCCUGAUGUUAGCCCAAAAGCAUAGUUAGAGCACUC